This 443-nucleotide ribosomal RNA is filed under the name uncultured bacterium. RNAcentral describes it as "partial 16S ribosomal RNA". It matches the Rfam family "Bacterial small subunit ribosomal RNA", at positions 28 to 507 of the family's 1533-position model. The record is from RNAcentral.
GAUGAACGCUGGCGGCAUGCCUAACACAUGCAAGUCGAUCGGUAAGGCUCUUCGGAGUACACGAGAGGCGGACGGCUGAGUAACGCGUAGGAACACACCCUGCAGUGAGGGAUAAGACACCGAAAGGUGUUCUAAUACCGCAUACGGUCUUCGGAUUAAAGCAUUUAUGCGCUGAAGGAGUGGCCUGCGUCAUAUUAGAUAGUUGGUGAGGUAAUGGCUCACCAAGUCGAUGAUGUGUAGCUGGUCUGAGAGGAUGAUCAGCCAGACUGGAACUGAGACACGGUCCAGACGCCUACGGGAGGCAGCAGUGAGGAAUAUUUCACAAUGAGCGAAAGCUUGAUGGAGCAAUGCCGCGUGCAGGAUGAAGGCCCUCGGGUUGUAAACUGCUUUUAUAAGAGAAGAUUAUGACGGUAACUUAUGAAUAAGGGACGGCUAACUACGUG